GUCCUGGCCGUAAACGUUGGGCACUAGGUGUUGGAGGCAUCGACCCCUCCAGUGCCGCAGCUAACGCAUUAAGUGCCCCGCCUGGGGAGUACGGCCGCAAGGUUGAAACUCAAAGGAAUUGACGGGGGCCCCGCACAAGCGGUGGAGCAUGUGGUUCAAUUCGACGCAACGCGAAGAACCUUACCCAGACUUGACAUGCACUGGACCGGUGUAGAAAUACACCUUCCCUUCGGGGCCCGUGCACAGAUGCUGCAUGGCUGUCGU
Molecule: ribosomal RNA, 264 nt
Filed under: uncultured bacterium
Lineage: Bacteria
Description: partial 16S ribosomal RNA
Rfam family: Bacterial small subunit ribosomal RNA
Source: RNAcentral